AUGAGCAUUGGAGUGAGUAAGUCCUUGCCGGUGGUGGUCGUCGGCCCUUGCGCCGGCAUCGUCCAUCUCUCCUCUUUCGACAGGUGCAUAGCUCCUAUUCCGGUCACGCUGCUCCUUGUCUUCGACCAACCAAUCGACGGCCCCGUCGAGACCAUCAAAAAAGCGCUGUCGCGGGCACUUGCGCACUACCCCCCGAUGGCCGGCCGCCUCGCUGCCACCGGCGACGACGGGGAGCUCCACAUCGCCUGCACCGGCGAAGGUGUCUCUUUCGUGGGUGCGGCAGUUAGCUGUGCCCUGGACGACGACGAGGUCACGACACCGGCGCUGCUCCUCGGCGACCUCGCCGUUGGCUACCCCGCCGAAUACUGCGGCCUCAGCGACGCCUUUCUACUGAUGCAGGUGACCGAGUUCUCGUGCGGCGGAUUCGUCGUCGGCAUGACAUGGAACCACGUCAUGGCCGACGCGGCGGGGAUGGCGCAGUUCCUGCAGGCCGUCGGCGAGCUCGCUCGGGGGAUGCCGGCGCCGGCCGUCGUUCCGGUCCGGUCCGAAAUCGACGGCUCGCUGCCACGCCUCCCGCCAGCGAUGGUCGCCGCUGUGAGGUCCCAGAUGCGCAUGGAAACGGAGGAACUGGCGAGCCUCGACGUCACCAUCCCCUCGAGCUUGGUCGGCCGCAUCAAAGCCGAGUGCGCCGGCGACUGCACGGUGUUCGAAGCCGUCGCGGCCGUGCUCUGGCGGUGCCGCACCCGCGCGGUCAUCUCCGAUUCCGAUGCUGACACCGACGACCCUGCGCCCCUCGCCUUCCCAAGCAACGUGCGCGGCCUCGUCGGCGCCAAGGAAGGCUACUACGGCAACUGCGUCACCAUGCAUCAGGUCCAAGCGACAAGCGGCGCGGUGGCGAGCGGCGACAUCAAGGACCUGGUGAAGCUCAUCAAGCUUGCAAAGGAGAAGGCGUCGGACAUAUUCAGGAGCAGCAGAGAUGCCGUCAGCGGCGGCGAGAGCGAGACAGAUGCCGGCAGCAGUGGAGAGCAGCCGCAGCUGGCACCCCCAUGCUCAAGGUACAACACGCUCAGUGUCACGAGCUGGAGGAACCUUGGGUUCGAAGCCGUGGAUUUCGGGCGUGGGACGCCGGCGCGCGUGAUGUGGAAGGCGCAUCAGACGGUGGGUUUCAUCUGCGUUGUGUGCCCGCCGUGCAAGGGGGAGGACGGCGUCAACGUCGUGUCCCUCUGCGUCAAGCCGGAGCACGCCGACGCCUUCGUGGCGGAGUUGGCCGCCCUCAACAUAUAA
Molecule: ribosomal RNA, 1284 nt
Filed under: Triticum aestivum (bread wheat)
Lineage: Eukaryota; Viridiplantae; Streptophyta; Magnoliopsida; Poales; Poaceae
Description: partial small subunit ribosomal RNA
Source: RNAcentral